GAGAAUAGCAUUUUACUGUCCAUGAGAUUAAAAAAAUCUCACAUUUGAUACAGCAUUUUUCAAACCCAAGUUACAUUAAUAUUUCUCAAAAUAUUAUUUCUUUACCAAAAUGAAAAUUAGUUUAACAUAUUUGCUUUACCCUAUUGUAGAACUUCCUUGAAACCUAUGUUAUUUAUUGCUAACAUUUUCAAGGAUAAUGGUUCUUGACAGACCUUUUAGAAUAGUUUAUUUACCCUCAAAUGUUGUCUUGAAAUUUACUUUACUCAUGGUAUUGUGAAUAAAGUUAUCCCUAAGGGUAUCUUUUCUGCUUUGAUAAACAAAAUACUCCGUUUGUGAGAUUAAAUUCAUGCAUAUCAAUUGCUUUUCUUUUAUCUAUCUGCCUCAUUCCCGCCAGAGAAUUAAGUAAGGCAAUCUAGAAAAAGAGGCAAAUAGGCUAUAAGAUCACGGAGGGUAAAAAAAGGUGGUAAAUAGACGGUAUUUUAUAGACUCUCUAAUUUGGGAAUUGUACUCUAUUCUUGAUAUUCAUCCAAUUGGCUAAGAUUUGCCUUUUAUGAGUCUAAUCCCUGACAUCUCGACCGUGGGGAAGCACAUAAUUGUAGGAUCUUCCUAUUUCAGUAGGGGAAGGAAACUACUCAGCCAGAUGAACGUCAAUUGGGCCGGAAUUGCUGCUGAAUAGAGGCUCACCUUAAGUGGGAAGGAAAAUGUGCUGGUUGCUAAGCUACUGAUAGGCUUUGCCCUUCCUCUGUUUAAUGGGCAGUCACUGGGUCAAGGCACAAAUGAUGACGUUAAAGCUGGCGUUUCUUUGCUAAUUGAAUGGUUACAUAGGAAAUGUCUAAGGGUUUCCUCUAAAUUAGUUGUUCCUCCUUGCUAUUCUCUGACCUUCACUCCCAGGAUGAAGGGUGACUGGAGGCUAGGAGAUGGAAUGAAUGGAAGAUUUACUAAAUAGUAAAAUUAGCUAACAUUAAGAUGCUAUAGCUGUAUAAAAAAUGAAUUUGUCAGCAUUUAAAAUAGUUUAUAAUAAAAAACAGGAGGACAUGUUUCAAACAUAUUGGUUUAUAUUGUUCAUCCUUUCCACGUCAUUAUUCCUAAUGGCAAAAGGUUGUGAGCUCUUAUCCUUGGGUCUUUGCUCAAAUUUGAAAUGCCAUAUCCUUUUAAGAUUAGGAUAACAAGGUGAACCUCAGAAAUUAAUAGGCACAACCCCAAGGCACAAGAUAUGCAGCCUCCUCAUUGCUUGUCUCUUGCCCACUCACACACAUAGAGUAGCAUGUUAUGGCACUUACACUAAUAAAGCCACUGCUAUCAAAGUUCUGGACUUGAUUUCCAGCAGUAUUAGCUCUGUUUUACCCUCAAGCUUCUGGGUUAGUGGGUUAUUGCUCACCAAAGAAGUUCUGGUUGGAAGAAGAGGUAAGAUAUCUCCAGAGCCGCUGAGAAGAAUGAGUAAGAUUUCUUGGGGAGGAUUAAAGGUCUCCUUCUGGAGUUGGGCCACAGGAUGAUAUUCAACUGAGGGGCUCUGAGAGUGCACCUGACCUCACCUUUGGAAGGGUGGUUUGUAUUCAAGCCCAAAUCAACUCAACUCACAGUAUUGACCCACGCUGGUUCCGUUUUUGACUCUAAAGUCUUCCUUCAGUUUACAAUCUAUUCACCAAAAUUCUCUAUCUGAAGCAGGUUGCCAAGGCUUUUAAAGACAAGAUAAAAUUUCCUGAUUAAAUGAACAUUCAUCUCUGACUGAAACUGACUGAGGGAACAUGAGAUGAACUCAGGAACAGUAUGUGCUCUAUUGUCCACGGUCCCCCCACCAGAGCUAUACACACAUGUCAAUUUAUUUAUAACAAUGUAAAUACCACAUUCUAGCCAGAGGGUGUGAUAUGUCCAAUUGGGCAAAUGUUCAGUCAUAGUCUAAUAAGAAGAUGGGGAGCUGGGUUUCAGAGGACCUCUGAGUAUCUUUUUUGUUUCUUUAGGGAAUGCAUUAUAUUUACUCAAAUAAUUUUCUCUUUUACCUAUAAGCAAGAUUUGAAGAAAAUAGAUAAAAAAUAAAAUUUUCUCCUAUUACCAUGCAGGUUAUUGCUCUUAUUUUUUGUUUUCAUUUUGUUUUGGUUGUUCUGCUUUAUUUUUGCUUCUUGGAUAGCACUUAAUGUUUCCAAGGAUCUCUUAUUAAGCACAUGAGAGUCAAAUGGCUUUAGCAGAGAGGAUGAACUGGAUAACCAUCAGCGCCAUGCUUCAAUUCAAAGCAGUUUCCUAGUGUUUUUCACCAUAAAUUUGAGAAAGUUCCAUUUGAGAAUCCUUUCCGUGUAAGCUGGUUGUGGUUUUUCAAUGCCAGGGAUGACAAAGGUGAAAUUAAUGCACCCAGCUGCUUCCCACGUGCUGGGCUUACAGAGGACAGUUUCCAACUUCCUUUGCCUGCUAGGCCCUCCCCUGUAUCACUCCCUUCCAUCUCCCCCUCUGAGAAUGACAGCCCUGGCUUGGUCUCAGUGACCUGGGGUAACUGCCAUGAAGCAACUUUUGAUAAGAAACAGGAUGUACAAUGGUUCCUCUGAAAUAAAAUUGGAUUAAAAGUGCACCCUCCCAUGCCGUAUGCCAGGCAUAGCACUAGAUGCAGACAUCUGACUAUAUCAUCAAUUUUACAAUUACCUGAUGAAGUAAAUACGACAACAAGAAAUGAAACAAAUCUUUGAAAGGAUGAAGAAAAUUCCUGUUAUCAAAUUACCAGCUGGGUAAUUAGUGAGCUGCUGGUAGGGGAAAGAAUUUUGAAGUCAGGUUUUUCUGACUCGGCAUCUUAUCUUUUUUCUUGCUCUUGAGGCCAUGUUGCAGAGAAAGAGGGUGAGAGAGAGAAAGAGGAUGCUGGAAAGUCUUAGGCUAAAUAGUGCCCCCUUUCUGCCACACACACAGAAAAAUCCAUGACCAAAUCCCUAGAACCUGUAAAUAGCUGCUUAUAGUACAUGGCAAAAAAAAAAAGAAAAGAAAAGAAGAAAGGAAGAAAGAAAG
RNAcentral lists this long non-coding RNA (2982 nucleotides) under Homo sapiens (human). RNAcentral describes it as "HSALNT0403586". Lineage: Eukaryota; Metazoa; Chordata; Mammalia; Primates; Hominidae. The record is from RNAcentral.